GAUGAAGAACGUAGCGAAAUGCGAUACGUAAUGUGAAUUGCAGAUUUCAGUGAAUCAUCGAAUCUUUGAGCGCACAUUGCGCCCGCUAGUAUUCUGGCGGGCAUGCCUGUUCGAGCGUCAUUUCAACCAUCAAGCCCUAGGCUUGCGUUGGAGCCCUGCGGCUGCCGCAGGCUCCCAAAUCCAGUGGCGGGCUCGUCGUCGUACCGAGUGCAGUAAACAUCCUCGCUCAGGGAACGUGACGGGUUCUUGCCGUGAAACCCCCCACAUAUCAAGGUUGACCUCGGAUCAGGUAGGAAUACCCGCUGAACUUAAGCAUAUCAAUAAGCGGAGGA
RNAcentral lists this unclassified non-coding RNA (332 nucleotides) under soil metagenome. RNAcentral describes it as "partial contains 5.8S ribosomal RNA, internal transcribed spacer 2, and large subunit ribosomal RNA". The stretch from base 1 to 120 matches the Rfam family "5.8S ribosomal RNA", at positions 35 to 154 of the family's 154-position model. The record is from RNAcentral.